RNAcentral lists this ribosomal RNA (207 nucleotides) under uncultured bacterium. RNAcentral's name for it is "partial 16S ribosomal RNA". It matches the Rfam family "Bacterial small subunit ribosomal RNA", at positions 568 to 774 of the family's 1533-position model. The record is from RNAcentral.
CAUCUAGGCGGUCAAUCAAGUCGAAGGUGAAAACUUAUGGCUCAACCAUAAGCUUGCCUACGAAACUGAUUAACUAGAGUACUGGAGAGGUGGACGGAACUACACGAGUAGAGGUGAAAUUCGUAGAUAUGUGUAGGAAUGCCGAUGAUGAAGAUAGUUCACUGGACAGAAACUGACGCUGAAGUGCGAAAGCUAGGGGAGCAAACA